Molecule: long non-coding RNA, 1667 nt
Organism: Bombina bombina (fire-bellied toad)
Lineage: Eukaryota; Metazoa; Chordata; Amphibia; Anura; Bombinatoridae
Exons: 2
Source: RefSeq, a predicted model, not a curated record
CAGAGCGCACAGUACAAGUGUGACAGAGCAAGUUGCACCCGGUGCAUAUCUCUGUUGUGACUGCCAGGGCUUCUGUAUGACUCUCUUCCCACAUGGUGUGACUGGACCUUAUGCUCUCUCUCUCCCCAGCACUGCUGGCUGCAGUCUAUUCUUUCUCUCCCCAUUACCUAGCACUGCAGAUACUGGCUUUACUCAUUGGUCUCUCUCUUCCAUACACUUGAUGCAGGCUGCCCUGAUUGACCUCCCCCCAACACUGAGGCACUUGGUAUGGCUGCACCUAUUGAUCUAUCUCUUCAUACACUUGAUGCAGGCUGCCCUGAUGAUCUCUCUCCGCAACACUAAGACACUUUGAUUUUCUGCACCUAUUGAUUCCAUACACUUGAUGCAGACUGUCCUGAUUAUCCCCCCCAGCACUGCAGACACUUUGUAUGAAUGCACUUAUUGAUCUUUCCAUACACCUGAUGUAGGCUACUCUGAUUAUCUCUCCCCCCAUGGCUGGACCUGUUGAUCUCUCUCUACCAUACACCUGAUGUAGACUACUCUGAUUAUCUCUCCCCUCAUGGCUGCACCCGUUAAUCUCUCUCUACCAUACACCUGAUGUAGGCUACUCUGAUUAUCUCUCCCCCAUGGCUGCACCUGUUGACCUCUCUCUACCAUACACCUGAUGUAGGCUACUCUGAUUAUCUCUCCCCCCGUUAAUCUCUCUCUACCAUACACCUGAUGUAGGCUACUCUGAUUAUCUCUCCCCCCAUGGCUGCACUCGUUGAUCUCUCUCUACCAUACACCUGAUGUAGGCUACUCUGAUUAUCUCUCCCCCCAUGGCUGCACUCGUUGAUCUCUCUCUACCAUACACCUGAUGUAGACUACUCUGAUUAUCUCUCCCCCCAUGGAUGCACCCGUUGAUCUCUCUCUACCGUACACCUGAUGUAGGCUAAACCAGAUUAUCUGUCUCUCCCCAGCACAAGGCUACAUCUGUUGCUUUCUCUCAUCAGCACUGCAGUAAGUCAGUGCAUCUACAACUUUCAUCUCCUCUUUCUCCCAGGAUAUUGGGAGGAUGACUUGGAAAAGAGGACUUACCUCCUGAUUCCAGGAUUGUCAAGCAUUAGCUGCGAGGAUGAAUACGACCAGUGUGCCCAUGUGCCGUGAUCACACGUGGGCCGCCCUGCCCUGCAAGAACUAACGGUGCCCUGCACUGCUGGCACCUACCCCGAGUUAGAGGCACAUGUGGCGCGGAUGGAAUGAAUCCUCAGGCGGUUUGCCAGAUCCCUCAGGCCCUGCAGCUCAUUGUCCUCCGGUUUCUUGUAGCUGGCCAUUGUAGAUGAUGCUAUUAUCACCUCCAAACCUGUGCAGUGCUGUAGAAGACUUCUUCUCCGGGGGCGCGCUUUAAAGAGCAACGCGCGCUCCACGCCCAGAGAGGAAAUGAUCUCACAUGAGCAGAAAAUGAGUGGAUUUGGUUAUAGGUGGUGGACGACUCACCCCAUCAUCCAGGGUCACUGUCCUCUGUAACGUGUGUCCGAUUCGCAUUUUGUGGCAAAAAUAUCUUAUUACUGCAUUUGUCUUAGUAAAAUUGGAUUUUUGGAUCCAGUAGUAUAUCAAAUAAUAAUAGUAAUAUUUUAGAUCUAUAUAGUUUAUGUCAAAUUCUAAUUAAACUGUAAUAACUCCAGAAA